UUAUCCGGAUUUAUUGGGUUUAAAGGGAGCGUAGAUGGAUGUUUAAGUCAGUUGUGAAAGUUUGCGGCUCAACCGUAAAAUUGCAGUUGAUACUGGAUGUCUUGAGUGCAGUUGAGGCAGGCGGAAUUCGUGGUGUAGCGGUGAAAUGCUUAGAUAUCACGAAGAACUCCGAUUGCGAAGGCAGCCUGCUAAGCUGCAACUGACAUUGAGGCUCGAAAGUGUGGGUAUCAAACAGGAUUAGAUACCCUGGUAGUCCACACGGUAAACGAUGAAUACUCGCUGUUUGCGAUAUACGGCAAGCGGCCAAGCGAAAGCGUUAAGUAUUCCACCUGGGGAGUACGCCGGCAACGGUGAAACUCAAAGGAAUUGACGGGGGCCCGCACAAGCGGAGGAACAUGUGGUUUAAUUCGAUGAUACGCCAGGAACCUUACCCGGGCUUAAAUUGCA
RNAcentral lists this ribosomal RNA (447 nucleotides) under uncultured bacterium. RNAcentral's name for it is "bacterial SSU rRNA". It matches the Rfam family "Bacterial small subunit ribosomal RNA", at positions 541 to 990 of the family's 1533-position model. The record is from RNAcentral.